This 119-nucleotide ribosomal RNA is filed under the name Pteropus alecto (black flying fox). The record is from RNAcentral. Lineage: Eukaryota; Metazoa; Chordata; Mammalia; Chiroptera; Pteropodidae.
GUCUACGGCCAUACUACCCUGAACAAGCCCGAUCCCGUCUGAUCUCAGAAGCUGAGCAGGGUCGGGCCUGGUUAGUACUUGGAUGGGAGGCCACCUAGGAAGACCAGGUGCUGUAGGCA